GUCGUGGUACUAGAGAAGAAGUAGAGAACACAUGUAGAGACAGGCUAGGGAGCUAGACCUACAGUACUGUGCUACGUGCUUACCUUCAAUAUAAUUACACUUGAACGUUUUUCGGUCUCAUGUGCUUAUUACUACUUGCAACAUAACAAACGGCAUGUGCGUUCCUGAAAGGCAGUUACCGUUCCAGAACGGCAUGUGCCGUGGUAUGCCAGUGGUCACGGUGGCACAUGCAGGCCAAUACACGAUCUCGGCACUACCUGAGAGUGGAGAGAAAUGUACCUGCAGGGGGGAGGGGCAGGCUCCAGAACCUGUUCCAUUGUUAUUCACAACUACUCAGCGGGCUGUGGUUGAGGCUAUGUCUGUGCUGCGGCCCAGAGUGAACAUUAUCCUGAAGUCUGGCACAGAGUGGCAGAUAAUGCUAGACAUGGAUGACCACACAUUUGCCCGGCAUUUCAGAAUAUCAAAAACCCGGUUUGAGGUCCUUAAAGGGUACCUACAGGAGGGUGGCCUGCAAAGCGAUCACAACCAUGGGCUGCCCCCCCUGCCUAUUGCCAAGAAGGUACUCAUGUUCCUGUGGUACAUGGGCAACCAGAACUGCUUCCGGGAGAUAUCAGACAAGUUUAACGUCUCAUCUUCAUCAGCACACCGCGCCAUACUCCAAGUGCUAACCAUCAUGUCCACCCUUGGCUGGGCUUUUGUCUCUUGGCCUAAAGGCUGUGAGAAGAGGGUGUCUGCCACCAGCUUCCAACGCACAUGUGGCCUUGAGAGGGUCAUUGGAGCGAUUGAUGGCUGCCACAUUAGAAUACAGUGUCCACGGGUCAGAGGAGUGGACUACAUGAACAGGAAGUCCUUCUACUCUGUCCUCCUCCAGGGGAUUGUGGAUGCUGAAGGCUGAUUCAUCAAUGUCUUCACUGGAAUGCCUGGCAAAGUGCAUGAUGCCCGGCUGCUGCGGUCCUCCUGGUUUUUCCAAGAAUGGCAGGAGAGGAUGGGGGAGUACCGUCUGCUGGGGGACAGUGCAUACAUCGGUCAGGAUUUUCCCUUCAUCAUCUCCCCCCGGCGUGACAACGGGGCUCUUACUGAUGCAGACCUUCGUCGCAACACCGACAUCUGCCGGGGAAGAGUCAUCAUUGAGCAGGCAUUUGGGAGAAUGAAAUGCAAGUGGAGGCGCAUUAGAGACUUGCAGAACACAUGCACUGUCACUAUUGCGAAGAUCAUCUUGGCUGCAUGUUAUCUUCACAACUUUGCCCAAGGUGCCUCGAUAGGAUGUGAUGAACACCCAGAUGGAUGUCCAAGAGAAGAUGAUGCCAACCAGUAGGAAAAGGUGUUCAGGCAAUUCUAUUAUGUUCAUUAUUCAUUAC
RNAcentral lists this long non-coding RNA (1358 nucleotides) under Gadus morhua (Atlantic cod). Its description in RNAcentral is "lncRNA (ENSGMOG00000028345.1)". Lineage: Eukaryota; Metazoa; Chordata; Actinopteri; Gadiformes; Gadidae. The record is from RNAcentral.